GCUUUUCCGCCCCGGCUCUUCUUUUGUUGUCAAGUCUUUUUGAUAAAUGGUGGGGCUGGGAGCUCUGGGAGUCGGGAGCCAGUCUGUGCCCGCGUGGGGGGCGGGGGCCGAGCCUGGAGACCCGGUUUCGACCGGCACGCACCUGGGGCUGAGCCGGGUGCGCGCGGGGGUCGGGUCUGGAACCUGCCCUCGGAGUGCUCGCCCUCUCCUCUUGGCCCAUCUCACUCCCCUCCCCCACCUCACUCCCCUCCCCAGCUUCUUUCUCUGUCUCCCACUCCGCACGGGUACCGAGAACUUUCCGGGAAUCGACGGGAUUUCUCUGGCUGUCGUUUGCGCUGCAUUUAUCCGAAUAAAUCCAGCUCGCAAGCAUCCUGCAAGAAACGGCUCCCGGCUCGCGUGUACACCGACACCUCGGCCCAACGCAGGACUCGAGGUGGCUUCUAGUGCCCGGGUGGCUGCAAGUCUGGCCUCCGAAGGAGGCUGGACAAGCGGCGCCCCCAGGUCGAGCGGCCUCUCGUUGCCUGGCAGUGCCUGGCAGCCCCCCCUCUGCCGGUGCUUCAGCAACCCUCCUGGCCAGGUUCGCCCGCGGUGAAAAAUGAAAGCAAAUUCCCCAACAAAGGUAGCCGGAACUUUCCUCGACGAAGGCUCCCUCCUGCGCCUGUGUCUCGGAGAACCCCCAGAGGGCUGCAAGUUAGCAAGAGAGAUUCGAUGACGGCUCUGGAAGGCGCGCGAAGGGUGGGGCGGGGGGGCAAAGAGGCCACUGGGUGACCCAGCCUGGCCCGGGGUGAAACGCUAGAGAAGGCGCCUCGCCUUCCUUAUUUCAAUGCAACUCCUCGGCCCCAGACGGUAAAAAUAGUUUCCAAGCUGCCGCGGACGCCCAGGAUGUGUUUGCAGAGAUCAAACUGGGGAGGAGGCAGCUUUGUAAAAGUUGCAGAAAGAUUAGCCGAGAAGCGUCCGCCCGGCGGGGCUCAAGAAAGCUUGGGGACAGCUCCACGUUCCUUGGGGCG
Molecule: non-coding RNA, 1007 nt
Filed under: Pongo abelii (Sumatran orangutan)
Lineage: Eukaryota; Metazoa; Chordata; Mammalia; Primates; Hominidae
Source: RNAcentral